UGCUGCUAAUACAGAACCACUCUUGCUUUUUAAAGAUGUGUUUUGCAGUUUUGUUUUUUUUAAGAAGAAAUCCCGGUGAAAACUCUCCUCAGUAGAGUGAGCUCUUUCAGGGCAGGGACUGUCCUCCAUUGGGGAUGUUCCCUGGAGCUCCGAUCCUGAUGGAAUUUUAAGGACAAUCAAAGAGAGAUGUUUCAAGAUGCCAUGUACCAGGAGAAAUGGAUCAAUAGUAUUGGCUGUACUGGCUUUGUGUGUGGUAUAUCCAGAUCCCAGCGGUUUCCAAGAAGCAGCCUUUGAUGUUACCUCAUUCUAGGGCUCUUUGAAUAUCACUGCCUAAUGAAGGGGACCGUGCGGAAGAAGAACGGAGUGCAUUUUUGGUGGGGGAGGUUUUGACUCUAUUUUGACUGCAUGAAUGAGAUACGGUGUGAAGGUCAUCGUUAGAGCCAGAUGGUCAAGAAAGAAGGGGGUAAUGCGGGUGAAGACAGACUGAGAAGAGACAUAUCAGCGUCAGAAGAACCAUCAGUGUAUACUCAUGAUUAAGGAAGGGCCAAGAGUGAUGGCUCUGAAGGUGAAGGCAUCCCUAAAAACAACUGAUUAACAAUCCAGGACAGGAUGGCCUCUUGUAGAUGUUUGGAACAUCAACAUCAAAAGAUGACAGUAACCGGUCACAGAAUGACACAGCAAAAUCCAUAGAGGAAAGGAUUAUAAAAGCAGGGUGCUUUGCUAUGGGACUUUGUGUUUGUCUUGACACCAACUCCAGGAGAUCAUCGGAUCACAACCGACAAAGCCCGGCUCUCCCUCUGUGAUUGAUCUGGCUGAUCACUAGAUUGAUCCAGACUCUGGACUGGUAACUAUAACAUCGUUUG
Molecule: non-coding RNA, 863 nt
Organism: Pelodiscus sinensis (Chinese soft-shelled turtle)
Lineage: Eukaryota; Metazoa; Chordata; Testudines; Trionychidae
Source: RefSeq, a predicted model, not a curated record